This is a long non-coding RNA of Salvelinus fontinalis (brook trout), 13638 nucleotides long. RefSeq lists it as uncharacterized. The transcript is spliced from 2 exons. Lineage: Eukaryota; Metazoa; Chordata; Actinopteri; Salmoniformes; Salmonidae. The record is from RefSeq and is a predicted model, not a curated record.
CUCCAUCGGUCUGUCUUCUCGGUCUCCCUUUCUCUUCUUGCAUAUCAUUCACUCUUUCUCUACCUGUAACUUCCUUCAUACUGGACACAUAGACCUGAACAUGGUAUCCACGAGUUCAUCUGACUCUGGGGAAGUAGAUGCCAAAAUCCCAAAGUAUCACUUUAACCAUCAAGGUACGUUUCACUUUUGCUGUAGUUUGACUGACGGCUAACAUACGUUAAAAUAUGUCGUUAGUAAAACGGCCACGUAGUCCAUAAUCUACACAGACGCACGCCAUAAUUAAAACGGCCAGCCAUUGUCAUACCUCUGUAGUGAUGGGGGUGGCGGGGGGAAAUCGAGUUACAUAUCGCAAUAUUAUCUUUGAAAGAUGAGUUUUUAAAAAUAUAUAUACAUACAUGCAUACAUACUGUGGGUAGUGCUAGUCUGCUGUACCUGUGCCAAAACGCUAGUAUUUUUCAUCCUUCAGCUUAUUCUCCAUCUUCUAAAUAGUGAUAAUCCUCUCAGCAGUUUUAUUUCCCUCACUGAUCACACUCGUUCUCAUGCUCUCUCGUCUCUCUGCAGCAGACAUAGUGGACAAUAUGUUUGGAACAUCAAUUCGCAAUAUCGAAUCGCAAUAUGUAUCAUAGAGCUGGGCGAUUUAUAUCGAAUUAAUUUGAGGUUGUUUUAUCACGGUAUUCCAAAUGCCUGUCGCAAGCAUCAACUUGUUUUUUAUGAGCACUUACGUCCGCUUGUUGUCAUGUUUUUCAUCUCAUCUCCUUUUGCAUCUUCCACUGUGACUGUGCACCUUCCCAUUUACACACACACACACACACACAUACACACACACACACACACACCAACCAAGCUCCUGCUACUCACAACAACAAAGAUGAAAGAUCACUUCCUCUUUGACGACAAGCGGUUUCAACUCACUAUUUGCAUUGGAGGUUUGGUCCAACCGAAUUGGUCAUAUGGACACAAACACAUUGAGAUAUUAUUUUACUAUAAUAGACGAGAAUCACAUUUCAAAAGGCACUCUCACAUCUGAGCUGUCUUUGUUGCAGGUGCAUGGUAAAAGUUGAAUAUGAUUAAGCUUUACGUAUCAGAGCUCGUCAGAGCUCUCUCACAACUCCCAUUAUUAAAAUGCAACGGAAUUCCAUAUGUUGCAUUAUGACAUUACAAAUAAUGAACAAUUUACCGGUAUAAUCAGGUCAUUUAAGUAAAGUGGCACUGCGGAAAGACCAAGAACCGAAUGGGGCUGAAGAAUACAACAAGCCAGGACCAAGUAUUGAAGAGGGGAGAUGCACGUGCAGCGCAAAGUAGUAAGAACUCCAGUCAGGAAGCACUCCACAGUACUGGAAAUCUCACAGCACCCAACUGAUGCCACCCCAGAAACCCAAGCCCAACCAACAAGAUAAUUAAAUAGCCCAAGAUGAGCGAAACCAAGGAAUGGAACCAACUAGACCAAGACCUCAAAGUCCUAGAGCCACUAGCCGGGACAGCUUAAUGGAAAGUUGACUCCUUCACAAAAAAUAACUUAUCUGGCGAGAGAAUGCUCUGGCACAGUGGAAAAGGAGAAUCGAACUACACACCAGCCAAACAGAGGGGCGAUCCAACGCCUGAGGAGUUCAAAAGAGACGGGCAGUGAUCUGGCCACCACUUCUGACCCGCCAAUGGGAGGGUGUUACAAUUCAGGGUCGAAACACCUGAGGAAAGCUCGACAAUGUCUGAUGAUGAUCAGCUUCUGGCCAAAGCAACAGUCAUUGAAGCAAGUGACUGAAGGUGAAGCAUCCCUAGAUAUACACUAUAUACAGUGGUUCCUCCUUUAAAAGUUACGUCAUACUAUGGCACACCUUGCGGGCUGCUGCAGCAUUCUGUGGCACAUUAUCUGUCAAAUGUUUUCUGUUAUUGCAAGUAAUUGCUAGUUUGACCACCAGAGGGCAUCUUUGAGAAGCAUUUGAUAGUCUCCAUAUUACAAGCACGCGGGAGACAGGUUCAAUCCCCCAACAGGGAGGAAGGAUUAGGCUAUCCUUGUAAAUAAGAAUUUGUUCUUAACCUCUCUGGUACAAGUGGGACGCUAGCGUCCCACCUCGACAACAGCCAGUAAAAGUGCAGGGCGCCAAAUUCAAAACAGAAAUCCCAUAAUUAAAAUUCCUCAAACAUACAAGUAUUAUACACCAUUUUAAAGAAACUUCUUGUAAAUCCAACCACAGUGUGCGAUUUCAAAUAGGCUUUACGGCGAAAGCACACCAAAAGAUUGUUAGGUUAGCGCCUAGUCACAGAAAACCAUACAGCCAUUUUCCAGCCAAGGAGGGGGCUCACAAAAGUCAGAAAUAGCGAUUUAAAUGAAUCACUAACCUUUGAUCUUCAUCAGAUGGCACUCACAGGACUUCAUGUUACACAAUACAUGUGUGUUUUGUUCGAUAAGGUUAAUCUUUGUCCAAAAACCUCAUUUGAAAUUGGUGUGUAAUGUUCAGAAAUGCAUUGUCUCAAACAAACAUCCUGUGAAAGUGCAGAGAGCCACAUCAAAUAACAGAAAUGCUCAUCAUAAACAUUGAUACAAGUGUUAAACAUACGAAUAAAGAAACUUCUUAACUUCUCUAGGGUAGGGGGCAGCAUUCAGAAUUUUGGAUGAAAAGCAUGCCCAAAUUAAACUGCCUGCUUCUCGGGCCCAGAAUAUAUGAUAUGCAUAUAACUGGUAGAUUUGGAUAGAAAACACUCUAAAGUUUUCAAAACUGUUAAAAUUGUGUCUGUGAGUAUAACAGGGUUUUUUUGGUAUACGUUUUAAAUCAUGUUUCUAGUCUAUUGCAUAGUUACAAUGUGUAAUCAUUGAUGUCCCAGGAGCAGGAGUGGUAAACACUGUUGACGUGUGUAAUUGUAAUACAUACAUGCCUACACAGCCUCAUUCAAAGAAUUGAGUUUGAGACACCUGGUAUUGGAUAUGACUGAAAAAGAAUCUUACCUGAACCGCACCUUUUAUUUGCCAAGGAAGAGUCCAUGAUCAGUGAAUAUAUUCAACGUACAGGCUACAAUGUGGGGGAUCUCAUGUGUGUUAAUAACUACAGUACAUGUAUAUAGGACUUGCAUCCUUGGCACAAUAAAGUUAUUAUAUUCUACUCUAUCCAUAGGCUUCAUUUAAUGCCAUUCAGACUUGAAGUUGAUACAACCACUAUGAUAGAUGCGGUUCAUAGAUAGGUUCUGAACUAAUAUUCAUACCAAACGUUUUAGGGUCCUUACACAGAUUGGCUACAUACUGUAGCUAGCUACACAUCCAUAGGCAUACAUUUAUUUUUAUCCUCCAGUACACAAUAAGUAGUUAUCUAGCUAUGUUACUUGAGCUGCUUUGCAAGGCAAGCUUACACAAUUGUACAUUCAAUUAGCAGUAAAUGCUUUAGCUAGCUAGAUUCUUUACAUCCACUGUUUCACAAGACAACAGCCUGGUUUGCUGCUUUUCUCAGGAGUCCCUAAAACAUUAAACAACAAGAAUUACAAAUUCAUUCUCCUAACACUAGCUAGCUGGCUAAUGUUAGCUACUCAGAACUUGCUAAAUAGCGAUUUUCAUAAAUUAACUUUAUGACAAAUAUGCACAAUCGUUUGUCUCUACAUUAACGAACAUAUUCCCCUCAAUUGUACAGUUUUAUCUUGACUUGUUAUGACGUUAUAAUUACUUACAUUUGCUUCCCCCGUAAUCUUUUGUCAGCCAUCUUUGCUGAAGAAAGUCACAAGGGACGGGUGGCUCGCGUCAAAUUCGUCAUUGGAACCACUCAAUAUAAUUGGUCAUAUAAAAACUUUGGGACCCAAAUGCAUAAUGAGUGCUCUAACUCCCCAUUGUGGUGGUCUGGAGCAAUUAAGCCGUGAUGCUGGGUACCUCUAAGUCCCGCGGUGUAAGCUCGCAACUUUUAAAGGAGGAACCACCGUAUACACAAGUAUGUGGUCACCCCAUCAAAUUAGUGGAUUCUGCUAUUUCAGCCACAUUUGUUGCUGACAGGUGUAUAAAAUUGAGCACGCCGCCAUGCAAUCUCCAUAGACAAACAUUGGCAGUAGUAAGGCCUUACUGAAGAGCUCAGUGACUUUCAACGUGACAACGUCAUAAGAUGCAACCUUUCCAACAAGUCAGUUCAUCACAUUUCUGCCCUGUUAGAGCUGCCCCCGGUCAACUGUAAGUGCUGUUAUUGUGAAGUGGAAACUUCUAGGAGCAACAACGGCACAGCCGAGAGGUGGUAGGCCACACAAGCUCACAGAACGAGACUGCCAAGUGCUGUAGUGUUUAAAAAUUGUCUGUCCUUGGUUGCAACACUCACUACUGAGUUCCAAACUGCCUCUGGAAGCAGCGUCAGCACUAACUGUUCGUCGGGAGCUUCAUGAUAUGGGUUUCCAUAGAUGAGCAGCCACACACAAGCCUAAGAUCACCAUGCGCAAUGCCAAGCGCCGGCUGGAGUUGUGUAAAGCUCGCCGCCAUUGGACUCUUGAGCAGUGGAAAUGCGUUCUCUGGAGUGAUGAAUCACGCUUCACCAUCUGGCAGUCGACGGACCAAUCUGGGUUUGGAGGAUGCCAGGAGAACACUACUUGCCCCAAUGCGUAGUACCAACUGUAAAGUUUGGAGGAGGAAUAAGGGUCUGGGGCUGUUUUUCAUGGUUUCAGGCUAGGCCCCUUAGUUGCAGUGAAGGCAAAUCUUAACACUACAGCAUAUAAUGACAUUCGAUGAUUCUGUGCUUCUAACUUUGUGACAACAGUUUGAGGAAGGCCCUUUCCUGUUUCAGCAUGAAGUGCACAAAGCGAGGUCCUUACAGAAAGGGUUUGUCAAGAUCUGUGUGGAAGAACUUGACUGGCCUGCACAGAGCACUGACCUGAACCCCAUCGAACACCUUUGGGAUGAAUUGGAAUGCCGACUGCGAGCCAGGUCUAAUCCUAAGUGCCCGAGCUCACUAAUGCUCUGGUGGCUGAAUGGAAGCAAGUUCACGCAGCAAUGUUCCAACAUCUAGUGGAAAGCUUUCCCAGAAGAGUGGAGGCUGCUGCUAUAACAAAUAGGGGACCAACUCCAUAUUAAUGCACAUGAUUUUGGUUAUGAUGUUUGACGAGCAGUUGUACAUAUACUUUUGAUCAUGUCGUGUACACAUGUACAUGUACACAUGUACACAUACAUAGUCCUAAUGUGUUAAGAAUCAUACCAUGUUGUGUUUUGAUCCUGGCAUUUGUGCUGUCCUGUUGCCACUGUUCUAGGUCAUCAUCUGGUUGGGGCAAGUUGUUCUCCAUCCUCCCAUCUAGGCUUGUUGACCAUUGCAGCAAGUUGCGGCUGCUGCGGUUUCAUGUGCUCCAUCAGUGUUAGGAUGUGCAGUUCAGCUGCUGCUGCUGCUGCAACAACAAAAAAUGAAGAUUGAUAGAAUUUGAGUUCCAUACCAUGUUUCUACAUAGUGAGAUCGAGGGGAAAUGAUUAUUAGCUAGUGUAAUACUGUAUAAGAAUAUAACUGUUCCCUCCAUUGGGAGUCGCUCUCAGUCAGUAUCUCCGUAUGUCUAAAAUGGUAGACAACACAAUGACUUUUACCAGAGUAACUUCCCAGUGGGAACAUCGGGUGUAUAACAGUAACAGUCACACAGUACAUGACAAGUAACAGAUACAGUACGUCACACUGACUAAGGAGAAAUAUGGUUAAUAUGAAAAGGCUAUGUUGUAGCUAAUAUUUUAAAGAUGCAUUACAAGCUCAGCAAAUCACCAACAAGUACAAAUUAAUCUGUGGGUGAUGGUGAUUUCCGAGUAAACGUGGCGAGAGAAAAAAAAGAUUUUGAAGAAAAAUACUCACUUUUGCUUCUUCCUUUCCCCCCUGCCUCCACCCACCUCAGCAUCGGACUGUAAAUCUGACGACUCACAGGUCAACAAAACCUUCAAUUUCUGCCUGGCAUUGUCUAAAAAUAAAUGUGUGUUUUGUUAAAUACCUAUUAGCAGGACACAAGGAACAUUACAAAAUAACUCACCAGUAGCCACUUCAAUUGAAUUGUCAACUUUGUUCAAAAGGAACAUUUGUUGAAUAACAUGUUAUUGGAAUAUAAACUAUUAUGACAUUAAACAGUCAAGCAACAUUAUUGACCAUAGUGAUGUACUGUGUAUAUCAGCCUCAACUUCCCUUACUAGGUGAUGCUUCUAAGGGCAGCUGCACUUCCAAAACAGAUCUUCAGAAACAGAGCACACAACAAAAAAAUGCAUUGUCAACAUACCAGCUUUACCAUAGACUCAAAUGCGCAGUGUCAAUUCGGUCAUCUUUCUUACAACUAGGCUAGAAGGUCACACCGUCUUCAAAUCAUUCCUCUGGCACAAUAAUUGGCGUCCUUGCUUACAAUGAAUUGUACUAACAAAAACAUCUGAAAAGACAGAACAGGAAAUUAGCAUUCCAUAAAUUCAGUGAUACAAAUACAGCUAGUGUUAGUCAUACUCUAUCAAAGUGUACUUGCGUCUAUUUUUUGUCCAGAAGCAAGUGAUGAACGCUGUGAUAGUCAGUAACAUUCUAAUUCAGUUAACCCUUCUGACCACACUCAAAAUAAUACUUAAGCCGCAGUGUUUUGUUUUAAAAAUGUAAAAUAAAAAUAUAUUUUUCAUAUCAUUUAAACUUCAUAAAUAUUAAAAUAAUUGAAAAGUGACACCCACCCCACUACUCUUUUGGCUUUAGUCCUAAAUAUGCAUUAGAGGUAAGGUCACAAAUCCCUUCCUAUAGGGCAGAACUAUGCAUUUCUGAAAGAUACUUUGGCAAAUUUGAGUGUUUCUGACGGUUGGGAAAUUCUGGAUAUGUUAAGGAAGGAUGAGCUGAAUGGGUAACUGAAGAAUUGUGACUUCUCUGAGAACUUUGUACAUAACAUACACUCCAUCACUACGUUUGACAAGGUUGUGUAUGACACACACAUUGUUUCCAAUGAUACAAAUAAUAUCCCCUAUUGAUACUUUAAUGGCACAUUGCUCGCUGUACAUUUCCUGAUAUUGUGCUGUCCCGAAAGACCACUGAGAAUAAGACCAGCAAAGUGUUGCUUUUUCAACGGACAGACCAAACCAGUGUUCUUCGCAAUAUGUUUUACUUCAGACAGUCUCCUAAUGACCUGGGUGACGGGAAAUUCUGGCUUCCUCACAAACUUCAUCUUGAAGGUAAUUUUCAAACGGAAACGCAGAAAUUGAGUCUAGGCAACCUUGCCGUUGCACAUCAGGUGAAAGAUUAACUAACCCAUGCACAUUUAUAGACUAGUUGGUCUUUUCCAUAUAUCGCACCAUAGUGGCUGACAAAAGUUGUGAGCAAUGUCUGUGCAUACUGACGACGAGGAGCUAAAAUGGAAAUGCCACAAAAGAGCAGCAUGAAGUUGUUGUACGCGUUACUGUCAAGAAACGAAGCCAGAACAACAGGACGUGUAUAGCAGAAACUGCCUAAACUCAAUUGCCUUCCAGCGGUCAACUUCUCUGGGUUUUCAGGCAAAUUAAAUGUGAGGGUGCGUUUCUAUGAGAUGGGAUGAUAUACUGUCCAUAACUUUGGCAGGCAAACAACAUUUAAGAGAACAUUUAUCACAACCCGAAUACCCAUUGUGAUCCUUGGUGGCUUUUAACAAAAUGUCUUGCAGGGGUACAACCUAUUACACUAACUUUAAAAAUAGCCUUUUCUGUUCAAAAGUAAACCCUUGCUCUUAUUCCUGAAGCUCUUUAACAAAAUCUCUAAGGAACUCCUCUACUGAAGUGUUUUUUUUUAAGCCCACAGUAAAGUCCAAUUGCAACAGGUUCCUUCAUGUUUGCACUAAUUAAGAGUCCUACGAUGGGCCAUAGUUGAAUGUUGGAGCUCUUAAAGAAUGCCAAGCCAUCUAUGUUGAUUUGUAAGAGGGUACAGCCAUCUGUAGUGGACGCUACUGUUUUAACGAUUGCCUUUUCUUAGAGAGAUGUAAAAAUUCCAAAAUACUGAUACUGACCUCCAGCCUUUUCAAGAAUGAUGUAUUGAGUUUUGGUCCUAUGCACAGUCCUAGCAUCUUUGGGCAGGUCCCGGUGGUGGAACCAUAAGACUCGGUAGAGCUGUCAAAGCAACCAUUGAGAUGCCAAAGGUGAGGGCCCAGUUGGAUGGCCUAUCAGCGAGGAUACUUGGUGGUUCUAAAUGUGGUUAAUCAGAAUCCUGAUUUUGAAUCAGAUUUCCUCAUACCAAUCUACAUUAUCCUCAUAACCACCAGGAUCUGUAUCCAUGUCCUCAUUAUCUAUGGGAUCAGAGUUGUCUAUGGGGUCAGUCACCUUCUGCAACUGAUUCAUCACCUACAGCUAGGCCUAUGUCACUUGCUACACCCAUCCUACAGUCAUCCCUAAUGUGUCCAAGUCGCCUAUCUAAGUCUACACGUGCCCUCUGCCUUAGUCGAGUUAGGCACUGGUGCUGUCUUCCUAUUCAUUUCUAUUUUCUAAAAAGGAAUUUUCAAAGACAUAAGAGCAAGCUUUCCGCCUGUUGAGUUAUUAAUAUCUUUGUUCAAGCAACUAUGUGAAAAACUAACCUCAAACAGUUGGAAGGAAAAGUAACAGCACAGAGACUAGGUGAUCGAGACGAGGAGAGAGAAGCAACUGCAUAACAACUACUGGUUGUAAUAUCAAUAUUAGUAACUCAUUCUGAAAGAGAGGAGAGUCGCAGGUCUUGCCUCAGAAACCAGGAUUGAUUACCGCUGUGAGAUGUCCGAGACUAUCAGAGAGAAAGAGACUGAGAAAGGACAACAAAAUGUAACUGUACUGAAUGACUGUAGGCUUCUGUAAAGAGAAUCAACUGCUAUAUACACUUGCUGAAAUAUUAUUAUAGCAAAUUUGAGGAAAGCUCUACCGAAGUUCUGUCAACACAUUGCCUGUAGUAGUCGCGCAUCAAAAACUGGAUCAUUGUUACUCCCCCUUCCGGGAUGGCUACAAGGCCCUCCCCUGCCCUCCCUUCGGAAAAUCGGAUUACAACACCAUCUUGCUCCUUUUUUUAUUUAUUUUUUAUUUUACCGUUAUUUUACCAGGUAAGUUGACUGAGAACACGUUCUCAUUUGCAGCAACGACCUGGGGAAUAGUUACAGGGGAGAGGAGGGGGAUGAAUGAGCCAAUUGUAAACUGGGGAUUAUUAGGUGACCAUGAUGGUUUGAGGGCCAGAUUGGGAAUUUAGCCAGGACACCGGGGUUAACACCCCUACUCUUACGAUAAGUGCCAUGGGAUCUUUAAUGACCUCAGAGAGUCAGGACACCCGUUUAACGUCCCAUCCGAAAGACGGCACCCUACACAGGGCAGUGUCCCCAAUCACUGCCCUGGGGCAUUGGGAUAUUUUUUAGACCAGAGGAAAGAGUGCCUCCUACUGGCCCUCCAACACCACUUCCAGCAGCAUCUGGUCUCCCAUCCAGGGACUGACCAGGACCAACCCUGCUUAGCUUCAGAAGCAAGCCAGCAGUGGUAUGCAGGGUGGUAUGCUGGUACCUUCUGAUAGACAGAAACUCAACACGUGUACUUCUUGUUUAAGGUCUAGUCAACGCUGGUCUGACCAAUCGGAAUCCAUGCUUCAAGAUUGUUUUGAUCACGGGGACUGGGACAUGUUACAGGUUGCCUCUGAGAAUAACACGGUGACUGAGUUCAAAAGGAAGUGUAUAGGGGAUGUUCCUACUGUGACUAUUAAAACCUACCCAAACCAAAAACCAUGGAUAGAUGCCAGCAUUUGCGCAAAACUGUAAGCGCGAACCACCGCAUUUAACCAUGACAAGGUGACUGGGAUUAUGGUUAAAUGCAAACCAUGUCGUUAUUCCUUCCGUAAGGCAAUCAAACAGGUAAAACGUCAGUACAGAGACAGUGGAGUCGCAAUUCAACGACUCAGACACAGGACAUAUGUGGCAGGGUCUACAGACAAUCACGGAUUACAAAGGGAAAAUCAGCCAUGUUUAGGACACCGACGUCUUGCUCCCAGACAAGCUAAACACCUUCACCCGCUUUGAGGAUGGCACAGUGCCACCGACGCGGCCCUCUCCCAAGGACUGUGGACUCUCAUUCUCCGUGGCCAAUGUGAAAUAAGACAUUUAACCGUGUUAACCACGAGAGGACUUGAAAAUGAGCCGGAGCUGAGAGGAUCAUCGAAACUUAAGGUAUUUUGGUUUCAGUGCAUUUUCUUUAAAAAACAUGUAAACGCAGCAAAAAAAGAAACGUCCCUUUUUCAGGACCCUGUCUUUCAAAGAUAAUUUGUAAAAAUCCAAAUAACUUCACAGAUCUUCAUUGUAAAGGGUUUAAACACGGUUUCCCAUGCUUGUUCAAUGAACCAUAAACAAUUAAUGAACAUGCACCUGUGGAACGGUCGUUAAGAUACUAACAGCUUAUAGACGGUAGGCAAUUAACUUUUUAGGGAUAGGGGGCAGCAUUUUCACUUUGGAUGAAUCGCGUGCCCAUAGUGAACUGCCUCUACUCUGUCCCAGAUGUUAAAAUAUAUGCAUAUUAUUAUUACUAUUGGAUAGAAAACACUGAAGUUUCUAAAACUGUUUGCAUUAUGUCUGUGAAUAUAAUAGAACUCAUAUGGCAGGCAAACUUCCAAACAGGAAAUGGAAAUUCUGGGGCUGGUUGAUGUUAAACUCAUCGUGUUUUCACAUCCCAGUAAGAUAUGGAUCUGUUCGCACUUCCUACGCCUUCCACUAGAUGUCAACAGUCAGUAGAACGUGGAAUGAAGCCUCUAGUGUGAUGUGGGGCCGGAUGGCAGCUAUUUGAGUCAGUGGUCUGGCAGAAUGCUAGUUCCUGGUCACGCGUGCUAGUCAUGAUAUGGCCAUGUGUUCCAUUACUUUGUAGACAAAAACGAAUGCUCCGGUUGGAACGUUAUUUGAUAUAUUUGAUAACAACACCCUGAAGAUUGAUUCUCUACUUAAUUGUAUCAGUUUAUUCGACCUGGAAUAUGACUUUUUGAAGUUUUCGUCCGAGUUCGCCUGGACCGGCGCCAGCGUUUGGACAUGUGAACUAAACGUGCUAGCAAAAGUAGCUAAUUGGACACUAGUAAUGGACAUUAUCGAACAAAACAACGAUUUAUUGUGGAACUAGGAUACCUGGCACUGCAUUCUGAUGAAAGAUCAUCAAAGGUAAGGGAAUAUUUAUGAUGUAAUUUUGUAUUUCUGUUGACUCCAACAUGGCGGAGAAAUGUUGUGUAUUUCUGAGCGCCGUCUCAGAUUAUUGCAUGGUAUGCUUAUCCUAAAGUUUUUUUAAAGUCUGACACAGCGGUUGCAUUAAGAACACGUGUAUCUUUAAUUAUAUGUAAAACAUGUAUCUUUCUUCAAAGUUUAUGAUGAGUAUUUCUGUUAUUUGACGUGGCUCUCUGUAAUUACUCCGGAUAUUUUUGAGUCAUUUCUGAACAUGGCGCCAAUGUAAACCGAGAUAUGUGGAUAUAAAUAUGCACAUUAUCAAACAAAACAUAAAUGUAUUGUGUAACAUGAUGUCCUAUGAGUGUCAUCUGUUGAAGAUUAUCAAAGGUUAGUGAUUCAUUUUAUCUCUAUUUCUGCUUUUCUUUGGCUUAUCUUUGGCUGGGAAAAAUGGCUGUGUUUUUUGGAUUUGGUGGUGAUCUAACAUAAAUAUAUGUUGUGUUUUCAAUGUAAAAGAUUUUAAAAAAUCGGACACGAUGGGUAGAUUAACAAGAUGUUUAUCUUUCAUUUGCUGUAUUGGACUUGUUAAUGUGUGAAUGUUACAUAUUUCCCAAAAAUAUUUUGGAAUUUCGCGCGAUGCCUUUUCAGCGGAAUGUUGUGGGUGUUCCGCUAGCGGAACCCCUGGGCUAGAAAGGUUUUAAGGUCACAGUUAUUAAAACUUAGGACACUAAAGAGGCCUUUCUACGGACUCUGAAGAAAGAUGGCCAGGGUCCUUGCUCAUCUGUGUGAAUGUGCCUUAGGCAUGCUGCAAGGAGGCAUGAGGACUGCAGAUGUGGCCAGGGCAAUACAUUUCAAAGUCCGUACUGUGAGACGCAUAAGACAGCGCUACAGGGAGACAGGACGGACAGCUGAUUGUCCUCGCAGUGGCAGACCACGUGUAAAAAUGGGCUGAGAGAGGCUGGACUGAGGGCUUGUAGGCCUGUUGUAAGGCAGGUCCUCACCAGACAUCACCGGCAACAGCGUCGCCUAUGGGCACAAACCCACCGUCGCUGGACCAGACAGGACUGGCAAAAAGUGCUCUUCACUGACGAGUCGCAGUUUUGUCUCACCAGGGGUGAUGGUCGGAUUCGCAUUUAUCGUCGAAGGAAUUAGCGUUACGCCGAGGCCUGUACUCUGGAGCGGGAUCGAUUUGGAGGUGGAAGGUCCGUCAUGGUCUGGGGCGGUGUGUCACAGCAUCAUCGAACUGAUCUUAUUGUCAUUGCAGGCAAUCUCAGCGCUGUGCGUUAUAGGGAAGACGUCCACCUCUCUCAUGUGGUGACCUUCCAGCAGGCUCAUCCUGACAUGACCCUCCAGCAUGACAAUGCCACCAGCCAUACUGCUUGUUCUGUGCAUGAUUUCCUGCAAGACAGGAAUGUCAGUGUUCUGCCAUGGCCAGUGAAGAGCCCGGAUUUCAAUCCCAUUGAGCACGUUUGAGACCUGUUGGAUCAGAGGGUGAGGGCUCGGGCCAUUCCCCCCAGAAAUGUCCGGGAACUUGCAGGUGCCUUGGUGGAAGAGUGGGGUAACAUCUCACAGUAGAACUGGCAAAUACGGUGCAGUCCAUGAGGAGGAGAUGCACUUCAGUACCUUAUGCAGAUGGUGGCCACACCAGAUACUGACUGUUACUUUUGAUUUUGACCCCCCCUUUGUUCAGGGACAUAUUACAUUUCUGUUAGUCACAUGUCUGUGGAACUUGUACAGUUUGUCUCAGUUGUUGAAUCUUUUGUUCAUACAAAUAUUUACACAUGCCGAAAAUAAACGCAGUUGACAGUGAGGACGUCUCUUUUUUUGCUGAGUUUAUAUAGCCUAUCAAUGUGUAGGUAUACUGUGUAAUAAAAUCGAUAACCAAAUAAAGGUUAAAUAAAAAAUAUUGUGUACUAAAAACGUGAAUGUGUUUUUGCAGAGCAUACAACCAUGCCGACAACCAUCCGUGGAGAUCAGUUGACAAAGGGCUGGACAUCGGGCCGCACCGAAAAAUCGUUGCCAAGAAAGCCGCCACUGUAAUUGAAGGGGGCUCAGGGCGGUACCAUUCUGUUCAUCUGAUGAAGGUGCGCAUGGAUCAGAUUCAAACGAAUCUGAUUGAAGACCGAGAUUGAAGGCAGACCAGCAGAAAGAGAAACAUUAUCUGAGGGCAGAGAUACGGGCAACAGCUGACACAUUGGUCUAGAGCCAGGCGGCAUUGGCGGAGAGUCAGGCAGAGAAUGACGCAUUGAAGAGUGUGAGGAACGAGAUGGAGUCACAAUCCAUGCCAGGAACACCUGUGAGCUCUGGAAUUCCACCUCCGACAGGCAGAGUCAACAUACCUGGCGGUUCAUCAGGUCGUCGGUUCACCCUGACAUUUCCAUUCCUCUUCUGACAACAGAACUUGACCAACUGCUCACUAGGCACAGCAAGGGCCGUCCGGACCGUUAUGCGGUUCUGUUAUAACCUAAUAAAGAAAUGCAGGUGGCUUAUAUCUUAAAUGCUUUAAACGUUUUAUUAUCCAAAUGUAGAAGCAUAUACUGUACAGUACAGUAUUUUUUCAUCAGCAUCUUAAUGCUUUCGUUAAUAAAAUAAUGAUUAAAAAUA